Molecule: ribosomal RNA, 413 nt
Filed under: uncultured bacterium
Lineage: Bacteria
Description: bacterial SSU rRNA
Rfam family: Bacterial small subunit ribosomal RNA
Source: RNAcentral
GGGCCCGCACAAGCGGUGGAGCAUGUGGUUUAAUUCGAUGAUACGCGAGGAACCUUACCAGGACUUAAAUGUAAGUUGCAUGAUUCAGAAAUGAAUCUUUCUUCGGACUACUUACAAGGUGCUGCAUGGUUGUCGUCAGCUCGUGCCGUGAGGUGUCAGGUUAAGUCCUAUAACGAGCGCAACCCCUAUCGUUAGUUGCCAUCGAGUCAUGUCGGGAACUCUAACAAGACUGCCGGUGCAAACCGCGAGGAAGGUGGGGAUGACGUCAAAUCAUCACGGCCCUUACGUCCUGGGCUACACACGUGCUACAAUGGCCGGUACAGAGGGCAGCCACACCGCAAGGUGGAGCGAAUCCUUAAAACCGAUCUCAGUUCGGAUCGCAGUCUGCAACUCGACUGCGUGAAGCUGGAAUC